This 255-nucleotide ribosomal RNA is filed under the name uncultured Gardnerella sp. Its description in RNAcentral is "partial 16S ribosomal RNA". It matches the Rfam family "Bacterial small subunit ribosomal RNA", at positions 103 to 355 of the family's 1533-position model. The record is from RNAcentral. Lineage: Bacteria; Bacillati; Actinomycetota; Actinomycetes; Bifidobacteriales; Bifidobacteriaceae.
CGGGUGAGUAAUGCGUGACCAACCUCGCCCCACUGCUCCAGAAUAGCUCUUGGAAACGGGUGGUAAUGCUGGAUGCUCCAACUUGACGCAUGUCUUGUUGGGAAAGUGUUUAGUGGCAUGGGAUGGGGGUCGCGUCCUAUCAGCUUGUAGGCGGGGUAAUGGCCCACCUAGGCUUCGACGGGUAGCCGGCCUGAGAGGGCGGACGGCCACAUUGGGACUGAGAUACGGCCCAGACUCCUACGGGAGGCAGCAGUU